Molecule: ribosomal RNA, 480 nt
Filed under: uncultured bacterium
Lineage: Bacteria
Description: partial 16S ribosomal RNA
Rfam family: Bacterial small subunit ribosomal RNA
Source: RNAcentral
AUGAACGCUGGCGGCGUGCUUCACACAUGCAAGUCGAACGAAGCACUUUAUUUGAUUUCCUUCGGGACUGAUUAUUUUGUGACUGAGUGGCGGACGGGUGAGUAACGCGUGGGUAACCUGCCUUGUACAGGGGGAUAACAGUUGGAAACGGCUGCUAAUACCGCAUAAGCGCACAGCAUCGCAUGAUGCAGUGUGAAAAACUCCGGUGGUAUAAGAUGGACCCGCGUUGGAUUAGCUAGUUGGUGAGGUAACGGCCCACCAAGGCGACGAUCCAUAGCCGACCUGAGAGGGUGACCGGCCACAUUGGGACUGAGACACGGCCCAAACUCCUACGGGAGGCAGCAGUGGGGAAUAUUGCACAAUGGGCGAAAGCCUGAUGCAGCGACGCCGCGUGAGCGAAGAAGUAUUUCGGUAUGUAAAGCUCUAUCAGCAGGGAAGAUAAUGACGGUACCUGACUAAGAAGCACCGGCUAAAUACGUG